This 103-nucleotide non-coding RNA is filed under the name human gut metagenome. Its description in RNAcentral is "THF riboswitch". It matches the Rfam family "THF (Tetrahydrofolate) riboswitch aptamer". Rfam says of the family: THF riboswitch presents a pseudoknot that joins P1-P2 and the loop of P3 and two THF binding. The record is from RNAcentral. RNAcentral also lists the same sequence under 1 other name.
GCAGAGUAGGUCUGUGUGCGUUAAGUGUCAGUUGGACGGGGAGUUGCCAGCUGAACGAAAAACAGGGAUUCCUGUUUGCGGUACACAGACCGCAUCCCGCUGC